Molecule: ribosomal RNA, 215 nt
Filed under: uncultured bacterium
Lineage: Bacteria
Description: partial 16S ribosomal RNA
Rfam family: Bacterial small subunit ribosomal RNA
Source: RNAcentral
CUCAGUUCGGAUUGUAGGCUGAAACUCGCCUACAUGAAGCUGGAGUUACUAGUAAUCGCAGAUCAGAAUGCUGCGGUGAAUGCGUUCCCGGGUCUUGUACACACCGCCCGUCACACCACGGAAGUUGGGGGCGCCCGAAGCCACUUAGCUAACCCUUUGGGAAGCGAGUGUCGAAGGUGAAAUCAAUAACUGGGGUGAAGUCGUAACAAGGUAUC